Molecule: long non-coding RNA, 257 nt
Filed under: Lathyrus oleraceus (garden pea)
Lineage: Eukaryota; Viridiplantae; Streptophyta; Magnoliopsida; Fabales; Fabaceae
Description: Pisum sativum (pea) long non-coding RNA (PSAT_LNC030612)
Source: RNAcentral
GACAGGCUAUCCUGGAAGUAGUGGAUCAGGAGUUGAUCGUUGUCAGUCUGAGUCGACAUCUUGCAUGCAUACAUCACAAGAUGGUUGAGCGGGCAAGUGUUUCAUUUGUACUUUUCAAAGUCAGGACUUUGAAUUUGAUAGGAAUCUUGACAUUAGGUACGAGGCAUAGCUCAGCAGCAGAUUUGCCGAAGAGGUCCUUCCCUCUGAGAGUUUUAAGUUCCUUGCGCAGCUCAAGGAAUUGAUCAUUCAUAGCGUCC